Molecule: long non-coding RNA, 316 nt
Filed under: Physcomitrium patens
Lineage: Eukaryota; Viridiplantae; Streptophyta; Bryopsida; Funariales; Funariaceae
Description: long non-coding RNA (PPAT_LNC010353)
Source: RNAcentral
AGAGGAGCUUCAUGCUUUGGGUCGGGGAAGGAAAGACAUAGAAUUUGGAUUUUUCUUCUUUGUAGAGUUUUGGGAAGACUGAGGCAAUCGCUGCUGAAGUCAGUAUUGUAAUGGUGAAUCGGAAUUUUUAAUGAAGUGGGUUUGAAUACUCUUGACUGUUUUAUGAAAUCGAGUUACGUCUGUGAUUGAAGGAUUAAAAGGAUGUCUAUAGGAUUGAGUAUGCGGAGUGAAUGAAAUUUAUUGGGUUAAUCUAACAAGACAGUCAGUGGAUACAAGAUCGUAAGUACAAAGUGGUAUUGAAGAUUAACAGUUUGGG